Molecule: ribosomal RNA, 253 nt
Filed under: uncultured bacterium
Lineage: Bacteria
Description: partial 16S ribosomal RNA
Rfam family: Bacterial small subunit ribosomal RNA
Source: RNAcentral
UACGGAGGGUGCAAGCGUUGUUCGGAAUCAUUGGGCGUAAAGCGCGUGUAGGCGGUCUUAUAAGUCUGGUGUGAAAGCCCGGGGCUCAACCCCGGAAGUGCACUGGAUACUGUUUGACUAGAGGACUGGAGAGGGAAGUGGAAUUCCUGGUGUAGGGGUGAAAUCCGUAGAUAUCAGGAGGAACAUCGGAAGCGAAGGCGGCUUCCUGGCCAGUAACUGACGCUGAGACGCGAAAGCGUGGGGAGCAAACAGG